UACAGAGCCGUUUACCGGCAAUGGAAUCUAAAAUAAAAAAUUUCAAGAGUGAAGAAAUGCAUAGUCUCCAUUAUUUAAAUUUUAUUAGAGAUGGAGAUUCUUCUGUGUUUGCUAAUGUGAAAGAAAAAGUACAACAUGGGAACUAAAUAAAAAAAUUGACACCAGUGCACAAGAUUUUAGCUAAUACAAAGCUUCCACACUAUGGAUGAAAUAUUUUGAAACCAAGGUUACUGAAGAACAGUAGUUCUUAUACGUACAAUAAUUUAUUGCACAGUAGUGCAAUAAAUUAUUGUACGUAGAGCAAUGGUCAGCCUAGUUCCAUGGCUGAUGAUUUUCAGAUUCGGCCACCGCAUGUAUUUGGCAACUAUGAGAAGAGGAAAAAUUUACUACUCUUUCCAUUCGUAAUUUAUAAUAUAAUUUGUACAUAGUGUUACUUUUGUAAAAUUAGCCAGACAAAUGUGAUUUGUUAUCUAUAAUAAAAAUAUAAAACUAUAAACUGGUAAAUCAUUUGCCAUUGUAUUCAAAUUUAAUUAGAGUAUGUCAUGUUUUAAGUUUGAGAAAUCAUUUCAGAAUUGUGGCAUUUUACUUAAAAACAAAUAAAACCAAAAACUUUCUUCCAAA
Long non-coding RNA from Manduca sexta (tobacco hornworm), 621 nucleotides. RefSeq lists it as uncharacterized. The transcript has 2 exons. The record is from RefSeq and is a predicted model, not a curated record. Lineage: Eukaryota; Metazoa; Arthropoda; Insecta; Lepidoptera; Sphingidae.